RNAcentral lists this ribosomal RNA (253 nucleotides) under uncultured bacterium. Its description in RNAcentral is "partial 16S ribosomal RNA". It matches the Rfam family "Bacterial small subunit ribosomal RNA", at positions 524 to 776 of the family's 1533-position model. The record is from RNAcentral.
UACGAAGGGGGCUAGCGUUGUUCGGAAUUACUGGGCGUAAAGCGCGCGCAGGCGGCAUGGCAAGUAAGGUGUGAAAUCUCCCUGCCUAACGGGGAGGGUGCACUUUAGACUGCCAAGCUAGUGGACGGUAGAGGGGGGUAGAAUUGCUGGUGUAGCGGUGAAAUGCGUAGAGAUCAGCAGGAAUACCCGUGGCGAAGGCGGCCCCCUGGGCCGAACCUGACGCUGAGGCGCGAAGGCUAGGGGAGCGAACGGG